UACGGAAGGUCCGGGCGUUAUCCGGAUUUAUUGGGUUUAAAGGGAGCGUAGGCCGCAUGUUAAGCGUGUUGUGAAAUGUAGAUGCCCAACAUCUGAAUUGCAGCGCGAACUGGCAUGCUUGAGUACGCACAACGUUGGCGGAAUUCGUCGUGUAGCGGUGAAAUGCUUAGAUAUGACGAAGAACUCCGAUUGCGAAGGCAGCUGACGGGAGCGCAACUGACGCUGAAGCUCGAAAGUGCGGGUAUCGAACAGG
This 253-nucleotide ribosomal RNA is filed under the name uncultured bacterium. Its description in RNAcentral is "partial 16S ribosomal RNA". It matches the Rfam family "Bacterial small subunit ribosomal RNA", at positions 524 to 776 of the family's 1533-position model. The record is from RNAcentral.